AGUUUGCACGAUAUUCAUUUGGAUCAACAUGGCGACAGUCAAGAAUCAUCACCUACCACGAAAGUUGGGAGGAUAGUUUCCAAGAUCGUUUUUACUUGAAAUAUGAUUCAACAUUGCGUGACGACCAGAAGGCGUCACGAGCGUUCGAGGAUAGUUAAAGAGCAACAGGCUUUUCGGGAGAUUAUCACGUUACAAAUUUCGAAAACAGUUGUCGACAGAAAAAGCGAUUUGGCGCCAAAAGAGCUAAUUUAAAUGCAAUUGCAGAAAGGCUUGACCCACUGUUAGAGCGUUCCAUGUAUCUGCGUCCGUUGAUCGCCAAUUUUUUGCAAACUCUUAUCGAUUUAAAAUGCGACAUUACAGCGAUGAGCGAGGAAAACCACUCAUGAGAAAGCAUCUUACAAGAAUUCGUCACCCCUAAAGAAAUUGAGUUGCAUUGCUUAGCAUGAACAUGCAGUGAAAACAAACUGGAGGAGACGCAAUGGCUAGCCAUUGUGAGCUUCAGGGAAUUUCAAAACGCCCCGUGAGAAACGGGCAGUCGACUUUGCCCAUAUAACGCAGCAUAUCAGCAGUCCCAAAAGGCGACGACAGAAAUUAGGCAUAAUCGGUGCACGGAUUAUAACGUUACAAAAAAACGUUGUCCGGAGAAAAUUGUGUUUUGCCGAAGCUGUAGGUUAUCACGUCAUGCACUAAUUUGCCAUCACUUUAUUCCCGUUGUCGAUGCAGACUACGGUGGAAUGACGGCUUGAAACUUUCGAUUAGAAAGACUUUUCAUCUGCCUAUGGGAGUCACGCUCCUGACCUGUCUAUUCACAUCGAACUCAGUGGCAUCAUUCUCAUCAUCAGACUCCCAUCAAUCUUGUUACCAGAGGUUGUUGUCCUUUUCGUGCGGCUGCACCAUAUCCUGCUAACAGAUCUAGAAGAAACAUCUACACACUUCAUCUCUGUCAGCGUAAUUUAUUUUUUCGUGAGCCUAUACUCGGAAUCAACAUGAGAUGGCAUUUUUCUGCUUCAUCGCCGAACUAUUAUGUCAAAGACCAUUCGCAAAUUACAUGGAAACUAUAUCGAAGUGUAAGUGUUGAUUUUCAACAUCUUUUUCCGCCCGCCAAUAUAAAAAAACGCUGUCAGUGAAGCAGUAUUAUUCACAGCAAUUGGAACUUCCAGUAUCGAAGGAAGCGAAGAGCGCCUCGUAUCUGAACAAAUAAUAAUUCCACAAACUCAUCCCGAAAUCAGCAAGUUGAAGUUUUCAAAUACGUCAGAUCCCUUGUAAACUAUUAAUCUUUUGUUUCAAACUCAUCUUGUACGAUCCCGUCCAUGCGACGGAAAAAUUUCAGUCCAGUCUCUAACGCUUUUAAGUAAAGGAACACAACAUUGCAAAACACGUGGAAGUAAAAUGUAUCGUUCUGUAA
This is a long non-coding RNA of Daphnia carinata, 1405 nucleotides long. RefSeq lists it as uncharacterized. NCBI's taxonomy places the organism in Eukaryota, Metazoa, Arthropoda, Branchiopoda, Diplostraca, Daphniidae. The record is from RefSeq and is a predicted model, not a curated record. The transcript is spliced from 5 exons.